Molecule: long non-coding RNA, 209 nt
Filed under: Ricinus communis (castor bean)
Lineage: Eukaryota; Viridiplantae; Streptophyta; Magnoliopsida; Malpighiales; Euphorbiaceae
Description: long non-coding RNA (RCOM_LNC001512)
Source: RNAcentral
GCCACUAAGGAUCACUAAACAACUAUCAUAUAAAAGGCAAAAGGAUCACUAAACAGCUAAUUUAACUCUUAAACUUUUUAAACAGGUUUUAGUAAUUUUUUGAGUAAUCCAGUUGGACGCACUAUAAGUAAAGUGCGAGAAUAGAAAGCGAAAUUGAGCAAGGAACAAUAAAUUAAGAGACCAAAUUGAACUCAAACGACAAAAUUAAG